Molecule: ribosomal RNA, 468 nt
Filed under: uncultured bacterium
Lineage: Bacteria
Description: partial 16S ribosomal RNA
Rfam family: Bacterial small subunit ribosomal RNA
Source: RNAcentral
GACGAACGCUGGCGGCAUGCUUAACACAUGCAAGUCGAACGGAAAGGCCCUGCUUUUGUGGGGUGCUCGAGUGGCGAACGGGUGAGUAACACGUGAGUAACCAGCCCUUGACUUUGGGAUAACUUCAGGAAACUGGGGCUAAUACCGGAUAGGAGCUCCUGCUGCAUGGUGGGGGUUGGAAAGUUUCGGCGGUUGGGGAUGGACUCGCGGCUUAUCAGCUUGUUGGUGGGGUAGUGGCUUACCAAGGCUUUGACGGGUAGCCGGCCUGAGAGGGUGACCGGCCACAUUGGGACUGAGAUACGGCCCAGACUCCUACGGGAGGCAGCAGUGGGGAAUAUUGCACAAUGGGCGGAAGCCUGAUGCAGCAACGCCGCGUGCGGGAUGACGGCCUUCGGGUUGUAAACCGCUUUCGCCUGUGACGAAGCGUGAGUGACGGUAAUGGGUAAAGAAGCACCGGCUAACUACGUG